AACGAACGCUGGCGGCGUGUUUAAGACAUGCAAGUCGCACGGGAUAAGACAUGUAGUAAUACUUGUUUUAUUUAGUGGCGCACGGGUGAGUAACACGUGAAUUACAUGCCCUAUAGUGGGGAAUAGCCCAGGGAAACUUGGAUUAAUACCCCAUGGUAUCGAAAGAUUAAAGGUGGCCGCAAGGCUGUCGCUAUAGGAUUGGUUCGCGCCCUAUCAGCUUGUUGGUGAGGUAACGGCUCACCAAGGCAAUGACGGGUACCUGGUCUGAGAGGACGAUCAGGAACACUGGAACUGAGACACGGUCCAGACACCUACGGGUGGCAGCAGUCGAGAAUAAUUCACAAUGGGGGCAACCCUGAUGGUGCAACGCCGCGUGGAGGAUGACGGUCUUCGGAUUGUAAACUCCUGUCAUCUGGGAGAAAGACCUGACGGUAAAUAGCCGGCAGGGUUGAUAGUACCAGAAGAGGAAGGGACGGCUAACUUCGUGCCAGCAGCCGCCGCGG
RNAcentral lists this ribosomal RNA (503 nucleotides) under uncultured bacterium. Its description in RNAcentral is "partial 16S ribosomal RNA". It matches the Rfam family "Bacterial small subunit ribosomal RNA", at positions 29 to 523 of the family's 1533-position model. The record is from RNAcentral.